This 465-nucleotide ribosomal RNA is filed under the name uncultured bacterium. RNAcentral's name for it is "partial 16S ribosomal RNA". It matches the Rfam family "Bacterial small subunit ribosomal RNA", at positions 338 to 795 of the family's 1533-position model. The record is from RNAcentral.
CCUACGGGAGGCAGCAGUAGGGAAUCUUCCACAAUGGGCGAAAGCCUGAUGGAGCAACGCCGCGUGGGUGAAGAAGGUCUUCGGAUCGUAAAACCCUGUUGUUAGAGAAGUAAGUGCGUGAGAGUAACUGUUCACGUUUCGACGGUAUCUAACCAGAAAGCCACGGCUAACUACGUGCCAGCAGCCGCGGUAAUACGUAGGUGGCAAGCGUUAUCCGGAUUUAUUGGGCGUAAAGGGAACGCAGGCGGUCUGUUAAGUCUGAUGUGAAAGCCUUCGGCUUAACCGGAGUAGUGCAUUGGAGACUGGGAGACUUGAGUGCAGAAGAGGAGAGUGGAACUCGAGGUGUAGCGGUGAAAUGCUUAGAUAUAUGGAAGAACACCGAUGGCGAAAGCGGCUCUCUGAUCUGUAACUGACGCUGAGGUUCGAAAGCGUGGGUAGCAAACAGGAUUAGAUACCCUAGUAGUC